Long non-coding RNA from Hordeum vulgare subsp. vulgare (domesticated barley), 301 nucleotides. RefSeq lists it as uncharacterized. The transcript is spliced from 2 exons. Lineage: Eukaryota; Viridiplantae; Streptophyta; Magnoliopsida; Poales; Poaceae. The record is from RefSeq and is a predicted model, not a curated record.
UGGAGUCCUUGCUUGAUGAGAGCGUUGACAAGGAGAUAAAUUUGCAGAUCGAAUGAGGUGGAACUCCUUUAACAGUAACGCUGAAGGAUGAUCUGAAGCACCCAAAAGAAGUAGAGGACAUGACGGGAGAAGGGAACAAGAAGCUUCGUUUAUCAUUGAUGUUAUGUUGUGCACUUGUUGGGCCUUGAACCUUUAUGUGUAGAGGAGUCGAUGAAUAAUGUAUUGUAAUUCAUGUGAUGUGUUACUGAAAUGAAAUAUAUACAACUAAUUUGCAAUAAUUUAUUCUUGUGUAUUUGUUUUU